Molecule: ribosomal RNA, 440 nt
Filed under: uncultured bacterium
Lineage: Bacteria
Description: partial 16S ribosomal RNA
Rfam family: Bacterial small subunit ribosomal RNA
Source: RNAcentral
CCUACGGGAGGCAGCAGUGGGGAAUAUUGCACAAUGGGGGAAACCCUGAUGCAGCGACGCCGCGUGAGUGAAGAAGUAAUUCGUUACGUAAAGCUCUAUCAGCAGGGAAGAAAAUGACUGUACCUGAGUAAUAAGCCCCGGCUAACUACGUUCCAGCAGCCGCGGUAAUACGUAGGUGGCAAGCGUUAUCCGGAUUUACUGGGGGUAAAGGGAGCGUAGAGGGGGUGGCAAUGCUGGAGGGAAAUGCCGGAGGUUAAAUGAGGAUACGCUUUGGAAACUGGCGAACUAGAGUGCGUGAGGGGGAAGCGGAAUUCCUAGUGUAGCGGUGAAAUGCGUAGAUAUUAGGAGGAACACCGGUGGCGAAGGCGGCUUACUGGAUCGUAACUGACGUUGAGGCUCGAAAGCGUGGGGAGCAAACAGGAUUAGAUACCCCUGUAGUC